This 254-nucleotide ribosomal RNA is filed under the name uncultured bacterium. Its description in RNAcentral is "partial 16S ribosomal RNA". It matches the Rfam family "Bacterial small subunit ribosomal RNA", at positions 524 to 776 of the family's 1533-position model. The record is from RNAcentral.
UACGUAGGGUGCGAGCGUUAAUCGGAAUUACUGGGCGUAAAGCAUGCGCAGGCGGUUAUUUAAGUCAGGUGUGAAAGCCCUGGGCUUAACCUAGGAAUUGCGCUUGAGACUGGAUAGCUUGGAGUGCGGCAGAGGGAGGUGGAAUUCCACGUGUAGCAGUGAAAUGCGUAGAGAUGUGGAGGAACACCGAUGGCGAAGGCAGCCUCCUGGGCCAGCACUGACGCUCAUGCACGAAAGCGUGGGGAGCAAACAGG